Molecule: ribosomal RNA, 440 nt
Filed under: uncultured bacterium
Lineage: Bacteria
Description: partial 16S ribosomal RNA
Rfam family: Bacterial small subunit ribosomal RNA
Source: RNAcentral
CCUACGGGGAGCAGCAGUGGGGAAUAUUGCACAAUGGGGGAAACCCUGAUGCAGCGACGCCGCGUGAGUGAAGAAGUAUUUCGGUAUGUAAAGCUCUAUCAGCAGGGACGAAAAUGACGGUACCUGAUUAAGAAGACCCGGCUAACUAGGUGCCAGCAGCCGCGGUAAUAAGUAGGGGGCACGCGUUAUCCGGAUUUACUGGGUGAAAAGGGAGCGUAGACGGAAGCACAAGUCUGGAGUGAAAUGCCGGGGCUUAACCCCGGAACUGCUUUGAAGAAUGUGGAGCUAGAGUGCAGGAGAGGUAAAUGGAAUUCCUAGUGUAGCGGUGGAAUGCGUAGAUAUUAGGAGGAACACCAGAGGCGAAGGCGAUUAACUGGACCGUAACUGACGUUGAGGCUCGAAAGUGUGGGUAGCAAACAGGAUUAGAUACCCGGGUAGUC